This 652-nucleotide ribosomal RNA is filed under the name Pseudalkalibacillus berkeleyi. RNAcentral's name for it is "bacterial SSU rRNA". It matches the Rfam family "Bacterial small subunit ribosomal RNA", at positions 786 to 1438 of the family's 1533-position model. Lineage: Bacteria; Bacillati; Bacillota; Bacilli; Caryophanales; Fictibacillaceae. The record is from RNAcentral.
CCUGGUAGUCCACGCCGUAAACGAUGAGUGCUAGGUGUUGGGGGGUUCCACCCUCAGUGCUGACGUUAACACAUUAAGCACUCCGCCUGGGGAGUACGACCGCAAGGUUGAAACUCAAAGGAAUUGACGGGGGCCCGCACAAGCAGUGGAGCAUGUGGUUUAAUUCGAAGCAACGCGAAGAACCUUACCAGGUCUUGACAUCCUUCGCUACUUCCAGAGAUGGAAGGUUCCCCUUCGGGGGACGAAGUGACAGGUGGUGCAUGGUUGUCGUCAGCUCGUGUCGUGAGAUGUUGGGUUAAGUCCCGCAACGAGCGCAACCCUUGAUCUUAGUUGCCAGCAUUCAGUUGGGCACUCUAAGGUGACUGCCGGUGACAAACCGGAGGAAGGUGGGGACGACGUCAAAUCAUCAUGCCCCUUAUGACCUGGGCUACACACGUGCUACAAUGGAUGGUACAAAGGGCAGCAAAACCGCGAGGUUGAGCGAAUCCCAUAAAGCCAUUCUCAGUUCGGAUUGCAGGCUGCAACUCGCCUGCAUGAAGCCGGAAUUGCUAGUAAUCGCGGAUCAGCAUGCCGCGGUGAAUACGUUCCCGGGCCUUGUACACACCGCCCGUCACACCACGAGAGUUUGUAACACCCGAAGUCGGUGAGGUAA